Molecule: ribosomal RNA, 252 nt
Filed under: uncultured bacterium
Lineage: Bacteria
Description: partial 16S ribosomal RNA
Rfam family: Bacterial small subunit ribosomal RNA
Source: RNAcentral
UACGUAGGGGGCGAGCGUUAUCCGGAUUCAUUGGGCGUAAAGCGCGCGUAGGCGGCCGCCUAAGCGGGACCUCUAACCCCGGGGCUCAACCCCGGGCCGGGUCCCGGACUGGGCGGCUCGAGUGCGGUAGAGGAGAGCGGAAUUCCCGGUGUAGCGGUGGAAUGCGCAGAUAUCGGGAAGAACACCGAUGGCGAAGGCAGCUCUCUGGGCCGUCACUGACGCUGAGGCGCGAAAGCGUGGGUAGCAAACAGG